AUGGGGCGACCGGACGCACCUGGGCACGCCCGCCACGUCGGACUGACGGAUGGGUUCCAUGGGGAAACGUCGGGAACCCGGCGGUUCGAUGGACGUCGCGUCCGUCCCCGCGGUGUGAACGCCGCGUGGCGCUGCUCCAGCUCGCCGCCCAGGACCAAAUCCGGCUAUUUAAGCCGGCAGGCGUCCCACAACCCUAACACAUCCACCUCCCCAUCUCCGUGCCGCCAGUCUAAAGCCAUCCACCUCGUCCCUCUCCCGCUCUGCCCACGGUCCAACGCUCCGCCCACGCUCUGGCACUCCGCCAUGGUCCGAAGCAAGAUCACCUACUACGCCAUGCUGAUGCCGGAGCGCCGCUGCGAGAUCCAGCAGGAGAUUGAGGCAAGGCAAGCCGCGCGUGCCGCCCACAUCGCUGCCGGGCUGCCUCCGGACUCGCUGGAGCCGAAGGAGGAGGAGCAGCUGGGGGAAGAGGAGGAGGAGGAGAUGGCUUCGAUGGAGAUGGUGGAGGCGGAUCCGGAGCUGCCGGAGCAGCAGCUGCCGGGCUUCAACAUGGAGCAGGCGGAGGCGGAGUUCGCCGUCGCCCAGUCCGACGAGAUGGCGGAGCAGCAGGCCAUCCUGGAGUCUAUCUAG
This 627-nucleotide ribosomal RNA is filed under the name Triticum aestivum (bread wheat). Its description in RNAcentral is "partial small subunit ribosomal RNA". Lineage: Eukaryota; Viridiplantae; Streptophyta; Magnoliopsida; Poales; Poaceae. The record is from RNAcentral.